Molecule: long non-coding RNA, 5848 nt
Filed under: Rattus norvegicus (Norway rat)
Lineage: Eukaryota; Metazoa; Chordata; Mammalia; Rodentia; Muridae
Description: long non-coding RNA NONRATT030322
Source: RNAcentral
GGAAGAGACCAACAACACUGCUCACCCCUGCCCACAUCCCUGGCCCAAGAGGAAACUGUAUAAGGCCUCUGGGCUCCCGUGGGGGAGGGCCCAGGAGCAGCAGGACACCUGCCUGAGACACCACCGGAACCGGAAAGAAACAGACCAGAUAAACAGUUCUCUGCACCCAAAUCCCGUGGGAGGGAGAGCUAAACCUUCAGAGAGGCAGACAAGCCUGGGAAACCAGAAGAGACUGCUCCCUGCACACACAUCUCGGACGCCAGAGGAAAAAGCCAAAGACCAUCUGGAACCCUGGUGCACUGAAGCUCCCGGAAGGGGCGGCACAGGUCUUCCUGGUUGCUGCCGCUGCAGAGAGCCCCUGGGCAGCACCCCACGAGCGAACCUGAGCCUCGGGACCACAGGUAAGACCAACUUUUCUGCUGCAAGAAAGCUGCCUGGUGAACUCAAGACACAGGCCCACAGGAACAGCUGAAGACCUGUAGAGAGGAAAAACUACACGCCCGAAAGCAGAACACUCUGUCCCCAUAACUGACUGAAAGAGAGGAAAACAGGUCUACAGCACUCCUGACACACAGGCUUAUAGGACAGUCUAGCCACUGUCAGAAAUAGCAGAACAAAGUAACACUAGAGAUAAUCUGAUGGCGAGAGGCAAGCGCAGGAACCCAAGCAACAGAAACCAAGACUACAUGCCAUCAUCGGAGCCCAAUUCUCCAACCAAAACAAACAUGGAAUAUUCAAACACACCAGAAAAGCAAGAUCUAGUUUCAAAAUCAUAUUUGAUCAUGAUGCUGGAGGACUUCAAGAAAGACAUGAACACACUUAGGGAAACACAGGAAAACAUUAAUAAACAAGUAGAAGCCUACAGAGAGGAAUCGCAAAAAUCCCUGAAAGAAUUCCAGGAAAACACAAUCAAACAGUUGAAGGAAUUAAAAAUGGAAAUAGAAGCAAUCAAGAAAGAACACAUGGAAACAACCCUGGAUAUAGAAAACCAAAAGAAGAGACAAGGAGCUGUAGAUACAAGCUUCACCAACAGAAUACAAGAGAUGGAAGAGAGAGAGCAGAAGAUUCCAUAGAAAUCAUUGACUCAACUGUCAAAGAUAAUGUAAAGCUGAAAAAGCUACUGGUCCAAAACAUACAGGAAAUCCAGGACUCAAUGAGAAGAUCAAACCUAAGGAUAAUAGGUAUAGAAGAGAGUGAAGACUCCCAGCUCAAAGGACCAGUAAAUAUCUUCAACAAAAUCAUAGAAGAAAACUUCCCUAACCUAAAAAAAGAGAUACCCAUAGACAUACAAGAAGCCUACAGAACUCCAAAUAGAUUGGACCAGAAAAGAAACAUCUCCCGUCACAUAAUUGUCAAAACACCAAACGCACAAAAUAAAGAAAGAAUAUUAAAAGCAGUAAGGGAAAAAGGUCAAGUAACAUAUAAAGGCAGACCUAUCAGAAUCACACCAGACUUCUCGCCAGAAACUAUGAAGGCCAGAAGAUCCUGGACUGAUGUCAUACAGACCCUAAGAGAACACAAAUGCCAGCCCAGGAUACUGUAUCCAGCAAAACUCUCAAUUAACAUUGAUGGAGAAACCAAGAUAUUCCAUGACAAAACCAAAUUUACACAAUAUCUUUCUACAAAUCCAGCACUACAAAGGAUAAUAAAUGGUAAAGCCCAACAUAAGGAGGCAAGCUAUACCCUAGAAGAAGCAAGAAACUAAUCGUCUUGGCAACAAAACAAAGAGAAUGAAAGCACACAAACAUAACCUCACAUCCAAAUAUGAAUAUAAAGGGAAACAAUAAUCACUAUUCCUUAUUAUCUCUCAAUAUCAAUGGCCUCAACUCCCCAAUAGAAAGACAUAGAUUAACAAACUGGAUACGCAACGAGGACCCUGCAUUCUGCUGCCUACAGGAAACACACCUCAGAGACAAAGACAGACACUACCUCAGAGUGAAAGGCUGGAAAACAACUUUCCAAGCAAAUGGUCAGAAGAAGCAAGCUGGAGUAGCCAUUCUAAUAUCAAAUAAAAUCAAUUUCCAACUAAAAGUCAUCAAAAAAGAUAAGGAAGGACACUUCAUAUUCAUCAAAGGAAAAAUCCACCAAGAUGAACUCUCAAUCCUAAAUAUCUAUGCCCCAAAUACAAGGGCACCUACAUACAUAAAAGAAACCUUACUAAAGCUCAAAACACACAUUGCACCUCACACAAUAAUAGUGGGAGAUUUCAACACCCCACUCUCAUCAAUGGACAGAUCAUGGAAACAGAAAUUAAACAGUGAUGUCGACAGACUAAGAGAAGUCAUGAGCCAAAUGGACUUAACAGAUAUUUAUAGAACAUUCUAUCCUAAAGCAAAAGGAUAUACCUUCUUCUCAGCUCCUCAUGGCACUUUCUCCAAAAUUGACCAUAUAAUUGGUCAAAAAACGGGCCUCAACAGGUACAGAAAGAUAGAAAUAAUCCCAUGCGUGCUAUCGGACCACCACGGCCUAAAACUGGUCUUCAAUAACAAUAAGGGAAGAAUGCCCACAUAUACGUGGAAAUUGAACAAUGCUCUACUCAAUGAUAACCUGGUCAAGGAAGAAAUAAAGAAAGAAAUUAAAUACUUUUUAGAAUUUAAUGAAAAUGAAGGUACAACAUAUCCAAACUUAUGGGACACAAUGAAAGCUGUGCUAAGAGGAAAACUCAUAGCGCUGAGUGCCUGCAGAAAGAAACAGGAAAGAGCAUAUGUCAGCAGCUUGACAGCACACCUAAAAGCUCUAGAACAAAAAGAAUCAAAUACACCCAGGAGGAGUAGAAGGCAGGAAAUAAUCAAACUCAGAGCUGAAAUCAACCAAGUAGAAACAAAAAGGACCAUAGAAAGAAUCAACAGAACCAAAAGUUGGUUCUUUGAGAAAAUCAACAAGAUAGAUAAACCCUUAGCCAGACUAACGAGAGGACACAGAGAGUGUGUCCAAAUUAACAAAAUCAGAAAUGAAAAGGGAGACAUAACUACAGAUUCAGAGGAAAUUCAAAAAAUCAUCAGAUCUUACUAUAAAAACCUAUAUUCAACAAAACUUGAAAAUCUUCAGGAAAUGGACAAUUUCCUAGACAGAUACCAGGUAUCGAAGUUAAAUCAGGAACAGAUAAACCAGUUAAACAACCCCACAACUCCUAAGGAAAUACAAGCAGUCAUUAAAGGUCUCCCAACCAAAAAGAGCCCAGGUCCAGACGGGUUUAGUGCAGAAUUCUAUCAAACCUUCAUAGAAGACCUCAACCAAUAUUAUCCAAACUAUUCCACAAAAUUGAAACAGAUGGAGCCCUACCGAAUUCCUUCUACGAAGCCACAAUUACUCUUAUACCUAAACCACACAAAGACACAACAAAGAAAGAGAACUUCAGACCAAUUUCCCUUAUGAAUAUCGACGCAAAAAUACUCAAUAAAAUUCUGGCAAACCGAAUUCAAGAGCACAUCAAAACAAUAAUCCACCAUGAUCAAGUAGGCUUCAUCCCAGGCAUGCAGGGAUGGUUUAAUAUACGGAAAACCAUCAACGUGAUCCAUUAUAUAAACAAACUGAAAGAACAGAACCACAUGAUCAUUUCAUUAGAUGCUGAGAAAGCAUUUGACAAAAUUCAACACCCCUUCAUGAUAAAAGUCCUGGAAAGAAUAGGAAUUCAAGGCCCAUACCUAAACAUAGUAAAAGCCAUAUACAGCAAACCAGUUGCUAACAUUAAACUAAAUGGAGAGAAACUUGAAGCAAUCCCACUAAAAUCAGGGACUAGACAAGGCUGCCCACUCUCUCCCUACUUAUUCAAUAUAGUUCUUGAAGUUCUAGCCAGAGCAAUCAGACAACAAAAGGAGAUCAAAGGGAUACAGAUCGGAAAAGAAGAGGUCAAAAUAUCACUAUUUGCAGAUGACAUGAUAGUAUAUUUAAGUGAUCCCAAAAGUUCCACCAGAGAACUACUAAAGCUGAUAAACAACUUCAGCAAAGUGGCUGGGUAUAAAAUUAACUCAAAUAAAUCAGUUGCCUUCCUCUAUACAAAAGAGAAACAAGCCGAGAAAGAAAUUAGGGAAACGACACCCUUCAUAAUAGACCCAAAUAAUAUAAAGUACCUCGGUGUGACUUUAACCAAGCAAGUAAAAGAUCUGUACAAUAAGAACUUCAAGACACUGAGGAAAGAAAUUGAAGAAGACCUCAGAAGAUGGAAAGAUCUCCCAUGCUCAUGGAUUGGCAGGAUUAAUAUAGUAAAAAUGGCCAUUUUACCAAAAGCAAUCUACAGAUUCAAUGCAAUCCCCAUCAAAAUACCAAUCCAAUUCUUCAAAGAGUUAGACAGAACAAUUUGCAAAUUCAUCUGGAAUAACAAAAAACCCAGGAUAGCUAAAGCUAUCCUCAACAAUAAAAGGACUUCAGGGGGAAUCACUAUCCCUGAACUCAAGCAGUAUUACAGAGCAAUAGUGAUAAAAACUGCAUGGUAUUGGUACAGAGACAGACAGAUAGACCAAUGGAAUAGAAUUGAAGACCCAGAAAUGAACCCACACACCUAUGGUCACUUGAUUUUUGACAAAGGAGCCAAAACCAUCAAAUGGAAAAAAGAUAGCAUUUUCAGCAAAUGGUGCUGGUUCAACUGGAGGGCAACAUGUAGAAGAAUGCAGAUCGAUCCAUGCUUAUCACCCUGUACAAAGCUUAAGUCCAAGUGGAUCAAGGACCUCCACAUCAAACCAGACACACUCAAACUAAUAGAAGAAAAACUAGGGAAGCAUCUGGAACACAUGGGCACUGGAAAAAAUUUCCUGAACAAAACACCAAUGGCUUAUGCUCUAAGAUCAAGAAUCGACAAAUGGGAUCUCAUAAAACUGCAAAGCUUCUGUAAGGCAAAGGACACUGUGGUUAGGACAAAACGGCAACCAACAGAUUGGGAAAAGAUCUUUACCAAUCCUACAACAGAUAGAGGCCUUAUAUCCAAAAUAUACAAAGAACUCAAGAAGUUAGACCGCAGGGAAACAAAUAACCCUAUUAAAAAAUGGGGUUCAGAGCUAAACAAAGAAUUCACAGCUGAGGAAUGCCGAAUGGCUGAGAAACACCUAAAGAAAUGUUCAACAUCUUUACUCAUAAGGGAAAUGCAAAUCAAAACAACCCUGAGAUUUCACCUCACACCAGUGCAAUUGGCUAAGAUCAAAAACUCAGGUGACAGCAGAUGCUGGCGAGGAUGUGGAGAAAGAGGAACACUCCUCCAUUGUUGGUGGGAUUGCAGACUGGUAAAACCAUUGUGGAAAUCAGUCUGGAGGUUCCUCAGAAAAUUGGACAUUGAACUGCCUGAGGAUCCAGCUAUACCUCUCUUGGGCAUAUACCCAAAAGAUGCCUCAACAUAUAAAAGAGACACGUGCUCCACUAUGUUCAUCGCAGCCUUAUUUAUAAUAGCCAGAAACUGGAAAGAACCCAGAUGCCCUUCAACAGAGGAAUGGAUACAGAAAAUGUGGUACAUCUACACAAUGGAAUAUUACUCAGCUAUCAAAAACAACGAGUUUAUGAAAUUCGUAGGCAAAUGGUCGGAACUGGAAAAUAUCAUCCUGAGUGAGCUAACCCAAUCACAGAAAGACAUACAUGGUAUGCACUCAUUGAUAAGUGGCUAUUAGCCCAAAUGCUUGAAUUACCCUAGAUCCCUAGAACAAACGAAACUCAAGACGGAUGAUCAAAAUGUGAAUGCUUCACUCCUUCUUUAAAUGAGGAAAAAGAAUACCCUUGGCAGGGAAGGGAGAGGCAAAGAUUAAAACAGAGACUUAAGGAACACCCAUUCAGAGCCUGCCCCACAUGUGGCCCAUACAUAUACAGCCACCCAAUUAGACAAGAUGGAUGAAGCAAAGAAGUGCAGACCGACAGGAGCCGGAUGUAG